This 465-nucleotide ribosomal RNA is filed under the name uncultured bacterium. Its description in RNAcentral is "partial 16S ribosomal RNA". It matches the Rfam family "Bacterial small subunit ribosomal RNA", at positions 338 to 795 of the family's 1533-position model. The record is from RNAcentral.
CCUACGGGAGGCUGCAGUGGAGAAUAUUGCGCAAUGGGCGAAAGCCUGACGCUGCGACGCCGCGUGAGGGAUGAAGGUCUUCGGAUCGUAAACCUCUGUCAGCAGGGAAGAACGGUCACUGGGCUAAUCAGCAGUGAAUUGACGGUACCUGCAAAGGAAGCACCGGCUAACUCCGUGCCAGCAGCCGCGGUAAUACGGAGGGUGCGGGCGUUAAUCGGAAUUACUGGGCGUAAAGCGGUCGUAGGCGGUAUGGCAAGUCACGGGGGAAAUGCCCGCGCUCAACCUGGGAACUGCACUUGAAACUGGCAAACUAGAGUGUGUGAGAGGAGAGUGGAAUUCCAGGUGUAGGAGUGAAAUCCGUAGAUAUCGGGAGGAACAUCAGUGGCGAAGGCGACUAGCUGGAACAUAACUGACGCUGAGGAGCGAAGGCGUGGGUAGCAAACAGGAUUAGAUACCCGAGUAGUC